UGAAGGACACGUGGAACUGGCGUUUCCCUUUAGAGAUGCCGCCGCGCGUCCAAUCAGACGUAGCCGGGGACGGCCCGGGGCUGGCGUUUCUGGGCGGGCCGCGCCGGCGGGGGCGGGCCUUCCGGUGUCCGCGGCAGACGGUUGCUUUAGGACCACCAGACGGGUUAGGGCCGCGUCCAGUAGGCGCUCCGGGUCCGCGAAAACCCGGCGCGGGAAGGCGCGAGACCCGGAGAGAGGAGCUGACCGCAGGGAUGUCCCGCUGAGCCCCGGCGUCCCGGCUGUAGAGGUGGCCUCGUUGUGUCCGCCGGAGCAAAAUGUCUGUGCCCGCGGCCUCCCCGGAGUCACCCCCUCUGCGUGGUGUUCUCUUGACCGAGCGGGAGAGGGAGGGUCAGAAAAACGUCCUGGCCAGGGGUCCGGGGUCGUGGGAGGAGGGAGACGGGCGGUUGGAUUUUGGGUGUGUUGAGUCUUCGUUGGCCCCUGCACAGACGCAAAGGUGUGGAUGCCGGGGACAGGUUGACCUGCGCACGGCCACGGCUCGAAGCCCCUGCCCCGUAGCAGACCCCGUGUCUGCCGUCCCAGAUCAAGAGGGCCUGGUAGACCGGCGGAAGCCGCGGUUGGCGCCACCUCUUCUCUCAAGCACCCUCACGCAGUCUUCAGAGGCGCAUGAGCAGCUGGGACAGGUACAAGUCUCUCGUCUUCAGAGCAGCCGAUGUCCGGCUGAGUCACCGUCAGACGCCAGGCACUGACGUGGGGGUUGAGAAUCCGCUGGGCUUUGCCUGCGCGCCUUCCCUGGACGUUCAGUUUGUGAAGGUCAUUGCUUUUCCCUAGGUGUGGAUUUUUCUCACCUCCCAAAAUCUAUCACGAGGUGGGUUGGUCUCUGCUGGGCUGGACUCUCACGAAUCGGUCCGCAGGUGAACAACACGAACUCUUCAGUCACCUGUGGCAGUAAGGCCCUGAGGUUACCUGAACCUGGGGACUGCACGGGGUGGGCUCCCACAUGCCACCUUGUUUUCUUAACAUUUAUUUUAAAUGCAUUAUUUGGAAGGCACAGAGAGACAGAGACGGACAAUGCAGAGGGCUAUUUCAUCAUCUGAUUCAUUCCCCAAAUGCCCACAAAGAGCAGGCCAAAUCUAAGAGCCUAGAACUCAUUUCUGGGUUCCUAAUAUGGCUGAUAAGGACCCAAAUACCUCCCAGGGCAUGGAUUCGGAAGCAGAGUCAGGACUGGAACCCAGGUGCUACAAUGGAGGAUACCAGUAUCCCAAGUGCUGUCUUAUCCACUGGCCCAGAUGCCCAUCCCUCUCAUCCUCUUUUAAAUAGAUUUAUUUUAUUUAUUUGAAAGGAAGAGUUAGAAAGAGAGAGAGGGAGAGACAGAGAGAGUUCUUCCAUCUACUGGUUCACUGCACAAACGGCUGCAAUGGCCAGGACUGGGCCAGGACAAAGCCAGGAGUCAGGAGCUUCUUCCCAGUCUGCCACGUGGGUGCAGGGGCCCAAGCACCUGGGCCAUCCUCUGCUGCUUUCCCAGGCACAUUAGUAGGGAGCUGGAUCAGAAGUGGAGCAGCUGGGACAUGAACAAGUGCCUGUAUGGGAUGCCAGCAUCACAGGUGGCUGCUUUAUCUACUACGCCACAACGCUGGCCCUGUCCCUCCCUCCCACUUUCCUGAUGGCUUCCCUGACGGCUUCCCUGACUGCAGUCCCCUAGCUGUGUCCCACUCACUGUCCAUUUAUCUAUUUUUAAAAAAUUUUUUAUUUGAAAGUUAUAAGAGAGGCAGAGACAAAAAGGUCUUCCAUCUGCUGGUUCACUCCCCACAGGGCCCAAGUGGCUGCAGCUGGGCUGAUCCAAAGCUGGGAGCCAGCUUUCCCAGGCCAUAGCAGAGAGCUGGAUCAGAAGUGGAGCAGCCAGGACUUGAACAGGCGCCGGUAGCAACUCUGGCCUCAGACUUCUGGUUGGCUCUCUAUUUGGGCGGGGCUUCCCUGCCCCUCCCACAAGGCCAGUGGAGGAAAUGGGAUGCUCCAGCAAUGGAAGUCGCUCCUCUGGGCUGUGGCCUCUCCUGAGCACCUCUGCUUUCCCAGCGUGGCCUGCCGUGGGAGUGAGGCCCAGGGUGUAGCAGAGAACUACAGUUGUGGGGCGGGGAAAGGAGAAACCAGGCUGCCAGGGCAAGCCGUGGAGAUGGAAGGGGUUUUUCAGUCCUUGGACCCGGCGUCGAAUUGUCGACCUGCCCUACUGGUGAGCCUGCGUUUCCCGGUUUGUCAGCCUGGACUUUGCUGCUCCCAGGUUCCAGAGAGUCCCUUCUCUUGGCCCCUAACCAGAAGAGGAGGCCGCGAUGGCCAGGGAUGGGUCUGGCGUGGGCAGAACCCUCUCUGCCCUUCGCUGAAGAAGUGCUGGCAGGAUCCCCGUCAACGGAGCCCCUGGGGGUGGGGAGCUGGGGAUCCCCAAGAGCUUGGCAGCUGGGACAGUGCUGCCUGACGAUGGCUCUCUCCACUCAGCAGCCUGGACCUCAUCUGCCACCCAGGACAGCCCGUCCCGAGGUGCCUUGGUGCACCCCUGGUACAGAGAAGGCAUUCAGUGAUGACUUGUGGGUGAAUGCAUUCUCUGCGUCGCUCACUUUACAGGAGAGAACCCAGAUCUGGCCUGUUCCAGAUGCUGAGGCUGCCCCUUCUCUUGGGCAAGCCUGGUGCCUGAAGUGCCAAGAGGUACCAGCAGAGGGAGGGUGCGGCGGGAUGGGGUAGGCAGAGCAAGGGCUGAGAGGCUGCGUCUCCAGAACCGUGGAGUAGGUGGUGCUGAGGCCAGUGGGCGAGAGUGGGGAGGGGCACCCCAUGAUCCUGGCUUGGGCAGUUUCCAGGGGCCCCUUGUGAGCAGUGGGCGGGCAGGCACCGAGGUACUAAUCAGCAGACAGGGAUGCUCUUGGGAGGAGAGAAUGAGGCCUCAGGCUCCCAGCUGGGAGGGUGGAGAAGUCACAGCAGCCUCUAGGAGGGAGGGGCCGACCCCACUGGCCACCCUCAGCCAUCACCUUGUCUCCCCAGGCCCCCUGCCUUUGUGCAGGCUAUGCCAUCGACCUCGGUUCCAGCUUCUGAGCACCCUUGACAGUAACUGAGGUUCCCUCCUCCAGGCACCCUUCCUGGACCAUCCUCAGGCAGUAUCCUCUCCCCCUGUGGGUCAGUCCAGGCCAGGUCCACUCCUGCCCACCUUCACGCCCCCAGGAUGUGAUGGGGAGAGAAAAGUUGAGGGAGAUCUUUGAGACCAUACAGUAGGUUGAAUAAUGGCACCCAAAGAUAUGCAUGUCCUAAUUCCUGGACUUUGUGAUCCCGUUACAUUACUUGGCAAAAUGGACUUUGCAGGUAUAAAUAAAUUCAGAUUAUUCUGUAUUAUCUGGGUGGGCCCAGUACUCCCAGUGUCCUUAAAGGGAAAGAGGAUGGAGGCAGGCAUUGGCCUAGCCACUUAGAUGCUGCUUAGCAUGCGUGCCACGUGGGAGUGCCUGGGUUGAGUCUCAGCUUAGCUGCCAGUUCCAGCUUCCUGCUGAUGCACUCUGGGAGGCAUUCGGUGAUGACUCAACUACUUGGGUCUGCCGCCCACAUGGAAGAUGUAGAUGGAGUUCCUGGCUUCUGGUUUGACCUGGCUCAACCCCGCUGUCACAGGCAUUUGGGGGACUGAACCAACAGAAGGGAGACAAUUCUCUAUCUCUGCCUUUUAAACAAAAUAAAGAGGUUAGCAGGAGGGUCUUAGAGAGAUUGGAAGAUGCUGUGCUGCUGGUCUUUUUUUAAGAUUUAUUUAUUUAUUUGAAAGAGAGGAGAGCAGAGAGGGAGGUUUUCUAUCCGCUGGUUCACUCCCCAAUUGGCCACAACGUCCAGAGCUGCGCCGAUCUGAAGCCAGGAGCCAGGAGUUUCUUCUGGGUCUCCCACAUGAGUGCAGGGGCCCAAGGACUUGGGCCAUCUUGUACAGCUUUCCCAGGCCACAGCAAAGAGCUGGAUCGGAAGUGGAGCAGCCAGGAUCCAAACCAGUGCCCAUGUGGGAUGCUGGCACUCAGACAGCAGCUUACCCUGCCACGCCAUAGCACUGGCCCCGCUGAUGGUCUUGAAGAAGCCAUGAGCCAAGAAAUGCACCUCUAAAAGCUGGAAAACCUACAUGAAUAGAUUGUCUUUUAGAGGUGAUAAAACAUGUGUCCUUCUAA
Molecule: non-coding RNA, 4166 nt
Organism: Oryctolagus cuniculus (rabbit)
Lineage: Eukaryota; Metazoa; Chordata; Mammalia; Lagomorpha; Leporidae
Source: RefSeq, a predicted model, not a curated record